This 65-nucleotide microRNA precursor is filed under the name Rhinopithecus roxellana (golden snub-nosed monkey). RNAcentral describes it as "miRNA (ENSRROG00000007319.1)". Lineage: Eukaryota; Metazoa; Chordata; Mammalia; Primates; Cercopithecidae. The record is from RNAcentral.
GUGCAAAAGGUAAUCGCGGUUUUGCCAUUAAGUGAUGACAAAAACCACAAUUACUUUUGCACCAA